GGUUAAGCGACUAAGCGUACACGGUGGAUGCCCUGGCAGUCAGAGGCGAUGAAGGACGUGCUAAUCUGCGAUAAGCGUCGGUAAGGUGAUAUGAACCGUUAUAACCGGCGAUUUCCGAAUGGGGAAACCCAGUGUGUUUCGACACACUAUCAUUAACUGAAUCCAUAGGUUAAUGAGGCGAACCGGGGGAACUGAAACAUCUAAGUACCCCGAGGAAAAGAAAUCAACCGAGAUUCCCCCAGUAGCGGCGAGCGAACGGGGAGCAGCCCAGAGCCUGAAUCAGUGUGUGUGUUAGUGGAAGCGUCUGGAAAGGCGCGCGAUACAGGGUGACAGCCCCGUACACAAAAAUGCACAUACUGUGAGCUCGAUGAGUAGGGCGGGACACGUGGUAUCCUGUCUGAAUAUGGGGGGACCAUCCUCCAAGGCUAAAUACUCCUGACUGACCGAUAGUGAACCAGUACCGUGAGGGAAAGGCGAAAAGAACCCCGGCGAGGGGAGUGAAAAAGAACCUGAAACCGUGUACGUACAAGCAGUGGGAGCACGCUUAGGCGUGUGACUGCGUACCUUUUGUAUAAUGGGUCAGCGACUUAUAUUCUGUAGCAAGGUUAACCGAAUAGGGGAGCCGAAGGGAAACCGAGUCUUAACUGGGCGUUAAGUUGCAGGGUAUAGACCCGAAACCCGGUGAUCUAGCCAUGGGCAGGUUGAAGGUUGGGUAACACUAACUGGAGGACCGAACCGACUAAUGUUGAAAAAUUAGCGGAUGACUUGUGGCUGGGGGUGAAAGGCCAAUCAAACCGGGAGAUAGCUGGUUCUCCCCGAAAGCUAUUUAGGUAGCGCCUCGUGAAUUCAUCUCCGGGGGUAGAGCACUGUUUCGGCAAGGGGGUCAUCCCGACUUACCAACCCGAUGCAAACUGCGAAUACCGGAGAAUGUUAUCACGGGAGACACACGGCGGGUGCUAACGUCCGUCGUGAAGAGGGAAACAACCCAGACCGCCAGCUAAGGUCCCAAAGUCAUGGUUAAGUGGGAAACGAUGUGGGAAGGCCCAGACAGCCAGGAUGUUGGCUUAGAAGCAGCCAUCAUUUAAAGAAAGCGUAAUAGCUCACUGGUCGAGUCGGCCUGCGCGGAAGAUGUAACGGGGCUAAACCAUG
This 1149-nucleotide ribosomal RNA is filed under the name Escherichia coli. RNAcentral's name for it is "partial 23S ribosomal RNA". It matches the Rfam family "Bacterial large subunit ribosomal RNA", at positions 1 to 1191 of the family's 2925-position model. The record is from RNAcentral. Lineage: Bacteria; Pseudomonadati; Pseudomonadota; Gammaproteobacteria; Enterobacterales; Enterobacteriaceae.